UCUUGCACUGGUCACCCCCAUCCCCACGACGAUACCGCGGCCUGCGUGGAACAAACCAGAGCCACGCAGCGGGUCGGCUCCUCCACCCCAUCCCCAUCUGGCGAACGGCGGCGCCUGUGCUGCUCCGGCGAGGUGCCCAACAAUGGCCUCGAGCUCAACGGGAUGUGUGUUGCGCCCGGGCCGUGGAGCAGUUCCGUCUUCCCAGUCGAGUCACAGGAUUCGAUGAGCGUCCCCAGCGUCGUGUUUGGCGCCGGCGGCGGGCGAGGUGUGCUCUGAAGCCACCAGUGGCUGGACACGCAGGAUAGAUCUGAUUCGCACAGGAGUGUUGCCGGGCUGGCGGGGUGUAUUGGUUCCGUUCUACCAGUGGACUCCCAGGAUUCGAUGAGUGCCCCCAUUGUCAAGGUGGACGCGGUCGGCAAAGCACAGCCAUAAGAAACUGUGCUGAACAUCCUUCUCUCCUUCUGAUUUUGCAGCUCUUUUAGCAAGUUUGCAUAUUUAGAAAGGUUGAGCUUUGUCUAAUUACCGUAGAAGUUGAUCUGAAGCUGGUUGUUUGGCACAUAUUUCACUGCAAUUUUAGUUUGAGUGCAAUUUGGGACAAAUUUGUUUGGAUGGGUAGUAUGUUUGUUGGAUUUCCCCCCCGUGCCACAGGCAGCUUUAUGGUGUAAAUUGGGUAGUCGGAGUAGAUAACUUUUUUUACUUGGGCCAAUGGAACAUUUGUCGCUUGGACUUUGGGGGUUAGUGAUGUUGAGUUCAGAAUUGCCGUAUUUAUUUGAUGAGUUUCGCUACAGUGGAAGCCACAGGAUUUUUUUUUAUUGGUACGUGAUAAAUUUGGAGUAAAACUUUUGUGGAUUGUUUAGAGGCAAGCUGGUCGUGUUUAGGUUGUUGGUUACUUUUUAGAGGCAAUGGAACAAUGCAGUUUGCAGUUUUGGGUGUUAGUGAUGUUGGAUCCAGUAUAACCAUAUUUGUUUUAUGAGUUUUGAUCCAGUGCAAGUCAAAUGAUUGUUUUGAUUGGGAGAUGAUUGGUUUGGAGUAAAACCUUGAUGAUGGUUGUUUGGGACAAAAAUGUUCAUCAAUGUACUUGGGGUGAUUUCACACAGGAGGUUCGGUUUGAGUAUUUUCUAGAGGCAAGCUGGUUGUGCUUAGGUUGUCAGUCAAGCAGCUUGAAAGCAUGCCCACUGUCUAUGCAAAUUCACCAAUGUAGCUACUCUAUCUUGCAGGAAACUCUGUUAUCACAUAGUAACCUGAUGUUCUAUGAGCUAAUGCGGAUGCAAGGGAACCAUUCAGCGGCGGCAAGUGACUUGCUUGAGGCAAUCAAAGGGUCAUUUGUUGUUCUGUAAAACAGUUUGCCCUGUGUGGUAUAGGCAAUGUUUUGAGGGAAUAGGUAUAGGCAAUUGGAAAUGCCAUGUAACUCUUUUUCAUUCAGUUUUAAGAACCUCCACAAGAUAUUCAGUUUGGACCGUGUGCAGGGUUAAUUCAAUGCACUUUAAUUCAUGCAGCUCCCACC
Molecule: ribosomal RNA, 1504 nt
Filed under: Triticum aestivum (bread wheat)
Lineage: Eukaryota; Viridiplantae; Streptophyta; Magnoliopsida; Poales; Poaceae
Description: partial small subunit ribosomal RNA
Source: RNAcentral